UGGGUGGGGCUGCGGGGGAGGCGGCGGGUGAGUGGAUAGAACCCUAACCCUUGAGGUUGGUAAAUGGGAAGCAAUCAGGUGCUUUCUCGCUGCCCCACUCCUUCAGAAUCGCUGAGGGGGACCAGAGAGAAGGGGCGGAUACAUCACAGGCGUGGCCCAGGGGGCCAGUUCCACUCUCUCAAAGUCCACACUGCUGGGCAUCUGCAGCCCCGAGGGGUCAUUUGAUAGGAGCCUCCCCCCGGGGGUCAGGCUGUAUUUGGAUUUUGCUGCUGCUGCUGGCUGGCCUGGAGGAAAGAGGCACCUGGAGGUCUGCCGCGUGGACCCAUUUGAUGCUGGAAAGCGUUACUCAAAGCAGGCCUUCCCUGGGAACCCACUAAUCACACUUAAAAAGCUUUCCUGCUUCCCCAAACUUUCAUCCUCCUGGACCAUCCGGUCUCCAGGCCCCGGCUUAAGGGCCCAGAAGGAGUUGCAGGGGAAAGUUGAUCCACAGGGGAGCCCGGUCCUCAGAGUUCUGAAGGCCCCUGGGGUGGUGGGACAGGCCUGGGCCUCCGGCGAUCUUCCCUGUACCCUGGGCGACUUCUGGGCUGUGUGUGCUGGGGACUGAGUCCUGACCUGUGACCCAGAUUCUGAGGCAAGGAAGAAGGCCGGACUCUUCCGGGAAGUGUGGACGGUCUAUGUGGAGGAGCUGUGUUCUUUCUGCUACACCAUACUGACGAGACGGCAAGCUCCUUCCCCAAGAAAGAAGGCUGAUGGAGGUUCCAGACACUUCCUCCUUCCUAAGGAAGAGUUCCUCGAGACAACACAGCUUACAAGGUGUUACCGAAUAGUUCAAAGGAAGCUGCGUUCAUGUUCACAUAAAGUGUUCAUAGGAAGCCUGCUUUUCUUCCUGUUUAUAUGAAGAAAGUAUAAACGUUGUAAAGCUGGGGUGGGGGGAAUCUUCAAAACACAAAAAUAAACAAUCUUCCUUCUGAAAGAUGUAUA
This is a long non-coding RNA of Prionailurus viverrinus (fishing cat), 981 nucleotides long. RefSeq lists it as uncharacterized. The record is from RefSeq and is a predicted model, not a curated record. The transcript is spliced from 3 exons. Lineage: Eukaryota; Metazoa; Chordata; Mammalia; Carnivora; Felidae.